RNAcentral lists this ribosomal RNA (403 nucleotides) under Verrucomicrobiota bacterium. RNAcentral's name for it is "Verrucomicrobia bacterium partial 16S ribosomal RNA". It matches the Rfam family "Bacterial small subunit ribosomal RNA", at positions 355 to 776 of the family's 1533-position model. Lineage: Bacteria; Pseudomonadati; Verrucomicrobiota. The record is from RNAcentral.
UGGGGAAUAUUGCACAAUGGGGGAAACCCUGAUGCAGCGACGCCGCGUGAGCGAAGAAGGCCUUCGGGUCGUAAAGCUCUUUUAUAUGGGAAGAUAAUGACGGUACCAUAAGAAAAAGCCCCGGCUAACUACGUGCCAGCAGCCGCGGUAAUACGUAGGGGGCUAGCGUUGUCCGGAAUCACUGGGCGUAAAGGGUUCGCAGGCGGCAAUGCAAGUCAGAUGUAAAAGGCAAAGACUCAACCUUUGUAAGCAUCUGAAACUGUAUAGCUUGAGAAGUGUAGAGGCAAGUGGAAUUUUUAGUGUAGCGGUGAAAUGCGUAGAUAUUAAAAAGAAUACCGGUGGCGAAGGCGACUUGCUGGGCACAAUCUGACGCUGAGGAACGAAAGCGUGGGGAGCAAACAGG